UUGGUUAGUUGAAUUUUCUAACAUUUCUUUGUCGGCAUAAAGACUUUUUGAAUCAAACAAAACCACCGAAAACGUUAACUCUGGAAGCCACUUUUUUCUCCUUUUUUUUAAAUAUUGAACUGGGAUUUUUCCUUUAUAAAUACUAACCAAACCAGUUGGAAAUUUCCAAGUUUCAAUUUCUUUUGGUUUUGAUCUCCUUUCCCUCCUUGCUUUUUAGUUUUUGCUGUGUUUCAGACCUGGGAACUCAAGCUCCUUCUGACAAAAAUUAUGCCAAGAACAACAACAGUGUAAGUUAAUUUCUCUAACUUCACUGGUUGUCACCGUUGUUUGUGAUAAAAAAUUUUAAAAGAAAAUCAAAAUUUUAAAAGCAAAUUUGACUUGAAAGGUUCAAUCCAAAUUUUUUUGUGUUUAUGUUUUUUUUUUGUUUUUUUAUUGACGCUAAUAUUCUCAUUUUAAGAGGUUGAGUUUUUCUUGCUUGAUUUAUAUUUGUUUAGUUUGUUUUGUCUUGAAUUUUUUUGUUUGAUAAAAAAAAAAAAUUUUUGAAUCUGACUUUUUUUUAGCAAGAUUUUUGAGUUUUUUUUUAGUUAAUGGAUCCCCUUUUUGUGUAGAUGAUGAACUCUGUUUAUAGAAUUUUUUGAGAUUUAAAUUUUAAAUUUUUUAGGAUUUAAAUAUCAUAUUAUCAAUCAAUUUAAAAUUUUAGUGACCGAAAUUCAUGUUGUGCAAAAUAUCGUACGACCAUCGUAGGUAGGGUCGAUAAUUCAAUCCAUCUCCGACUGGUUCUUACCCAACCCGAUCCUAUGGGAUCAAUUUUUUUUUUUUUGAAAUUCAAAUUUCGAAUCAGAUCGAGUAAGAUUAGAAAAUAAUUGAAGUCAAGUCGGGUUCGAGUUUUAGGUAAACCCGACUCAAUCCGACCCGAUAUUAUAUAAAAAAUUAUUUUUUAAUUAAUUAUUUAAUUUUUAUUUAUAUAUAUUUAUAUAAUGAUAUUUUUUAAAUAUUUAUAUUUAAAAAAUAAUAUUUUAUAUUUUAAAAAUAAUAUUUUAUUAAUUUCGAGUCGGAUUGAAUCAGGUACGAUUUAUAUAAUAUCGGAUUAAAUUCAAAUAUAAAAAAAUUUAAAAAAAAUUUAGAUAAGAUCGAAUUCAAAUUUAAUAACACAUAAAAUCGAAUUAAGUUCGAAACGAAUAAAAUUCGUUCCGAACCCGACCCAAUGACAACUUUAGUAAUAGAUUACAUGGUUGAAAUUUUAGACUUUUAAAAAAAUACAUUUAAUGUAUCAUAUUUUUAUCAAAUUAAAUCGAAUAAAAAAAUAUAAUAAUAAUAAUAAUAAUAAUUGUGUUUACACGGUACGGCAACGAGAAAAUAAAUCGGGUAACAAUACUGUCAGGAUCUUACAUUCAAAUGAAUAAAUAAAUAUAUAAAACAGCCAAAAAAUGAAAAAAUCCAUCGGACGUCAUUUUAUCGAUCUAUUUGUUUUUCUCAUUCGUCUUACCGGAACCCUGGCCGCCACGGCACCUUUCGUUAGGGUGGCAUCCUCUCUGGUAGGUGGAAGCAGGCGGUGGGCAGUUCUCGGGGUGACUAGGGCUGCAUCCCGGAGCCAUACUCUUUCCGAUGGAUCCAUAUCCGAGCGAUGAAGCCUCUUGGGAACCCGCUGCAAGGUGCGCCAAAAGCACCAAAAGCGCCAGCAGAGAUAUAAAGAAAAAAAUUACUCCUUUAAUCAUAGACAUUAAAGGCAGACCGUUCGUGAGAGGCAGGAGACGCUGGAGAUAGAUGAAAUCAAAUCAAAUUAAGUAUUUAUAGAUUGAAAAUAAUUAAUCUAGAACAAUAUUAGAAUGAUCUUAGCCUAUCUAGAAGCAUAUGGUAGCCGUCUAAAUUAGAGACUUCUAUAUAGAUUUAGCUUUUUAAAUAUCAUUUACUAAAAAAGAUGGCAUAAAUUUAUUUAAUUAAAUCUUAAAUUUAAGUAACUAAUCACUUUUUCCUCUAUAUAAAAAGUAUUAAAAUAUCUUUAAAAAAAAGUAUUAAACUAAAAUAUUUUUCUAGCUUGAUGAUAUAAUUUCCACAUUUUUUCUUUAAAUUUAUUUUGAUAAAAAAAAAAAAAAAAGGAAUUUGAUCACCAUGCUUUCAAUAGAGAGACUACAAAAUAGCAUUGGACUCUGAUCACUAUGAUUACUGUAUUUUUGGACUUUUAUUUCAGGGAUGAGAUGACAGUAUUGCUCUAUCUUUUAUUAAUGAAAAUUUAUUAUUGGGUGAGAAAAAAAAAAAAAGAGAUUAAAAAUUUUAAAUUUGUUAGAUGUUAUAUUUUAAAAGUAAUUGUAUGAAUUAAUUAAAUUAAAUUAUAUAUUUAUUAUGUAUUUUUUUUUAUUUUUUUUGCAUUGAUUAGAUAUUGCUUUGACAAAAAUUUUCAACUAUAAUUGGUCCAACUUAACAGAAUAAUUUAAAUAAAUGAGAAAUUAAUAAUAAUGAUUUGGGAUCCGGUGGGUUGUGAUUAUUGAUUCUUUGAGUUGUAAAUCAAUACUACAUUUAAUUUUCAAAUACUUAAUUAUUUGCUUUUGAGUGAUUUUUGGAUCUUUAAGUUUAAACAUACCAUAUGGCAGCCUGUCAAAUUGUGAAUAAUGCACUUGCCUUUUCUUUUUAAUUUUUUAAAAAUUUCAAAUAUUUUAACGUUUUUGUUAUUUAUUUUUUAAAAUAAUAUUUCAAUUGGGGAACUUACAUGUUUUAUUUUAUCUUGGAAUACAGACAAAACCCUCUAAUGUAAGAGUAAUAAAAGUCAAAUGCUUUUGGCUGGUCUGAAAGUAUUAGUAACAACAAACCAUGUGCUAACACGUGAAUCCAUUCCGUAAAUCACUAAAGAUUACUAUAAACAGUAAACAUGACUAUACAGAUAAUUUUUUCUGAGAUAUUUGGUUACAGAAUAUAUGUAAAUGGUUUGAUAAUUACAAGGUUUGAUUGUGACAAAAAUUAAAGCACACGUUAAGCAUUGACUUAAGACUUAUUGACCAGCUGAAACCAAUGGAAAAAGGUAUCACUGUAAAUUAUCUGGAGUUCCUGAAUAGAAAAAUAAUUUCAGUCAACAAAAUUUAAUAUUCCUUCUUACAACUGGUUUCUUCAAUAAUCAAAGUUGAAAACAUGGGAUCAUGAGAAGAAGGUUAAAAGAUUAAUAAAUAAAAUUUCUAAGGGAGGUGUUUCUUCAGCCAAGUAUAUGAAGUAAACUGUACAGUACUGGCUUGUGAUGAAACCAUAGCUAUCAGGGACGUUGGAAAGAAGAACCCAUUGAACCGGAAUCAGGUCUUCAACUUAGGAAAAAGAACCCAUUGAACCAGAAUCAUGUGUUCAACUUAGGAAUCAGGAGGAUUAAGUUAAACCUUAGUAAAUCAAAGUUGCAGAGAUGCAAAAAUGGAUGGAAAUUCAAAAUUAUAUAUCACAGGUAGAGAUUUGUGUUGAAAACUGGUUACAUUUCCAAGUUCUUGUGAUGAGUAAAUGAUUCAAGAGCUAUCGUAUGUUUUCAUGAAAGUUAGAGGCUAUUAAGCCAUCAGGGUUGUUGAGGAAGCAGAAUUACAUAAAAGAAAAACAAAAACCUCACAGAAAACAAUAAGAGCUAAAAACAAAAAAUACAUCAUAGAGAUACAAGAGAAUAAAGCUGAAAGGACAAACUCCAAUGAGUUUGGAUAGCUUUUUAUUAACUUUUUGUUUAACAAAAAUUUUUUAUUAACUUUUUGUUUUUUAAAAAGAAAAAGCAACACAAAACAAAAACACUGCAAUUACAUGCACAAAGGAGAGGUUAGAGAAAUUAACUUACACUGUUGUUCUUGGCAUAAUCUUUGUGAGAAGGAGCUUGAGUUCCCAUGUCUGAAACACAGCAAAAACUACAAAGCAAGGAGGGAAAGGAGAUCAAAACCAAAAGAAAUUGAAACUUGGAAAUUUCCCACUGGUUUGGUUAGUAUUUAUAAAGGAGAAAUCCCAGUCCAAUAGUUAAAAAAAGGAGAAAAAAGUGGCUACAAGAGUUCUGGAAACUGACGUUUUUGGUGGUUUUGUUUGAUUCAAAAAGUCUUUAUGCAGACAAAGAACUGUUAAUAAAUUCAACUAACCAAUUUUUAUUCAUUGGAUUAUUAGCUGGUGCAAGGUCUUUGAAGAAAAUUCCACGAACCUUGAGACCAC
Molecule: long non-coding RNA, 4149 nt
Filed under: Durio zibethinus
Lineage: Eukaryota; Viridiplantae; Streptophyta; Magnoliopsida; Malvales; Malvaceae
Description: long non-coding RNA (DZIB_LNC002273)
Source: RNAcentral